GCAGUGGUGGUUCAGUGGUAGAACUCUCACCUUCCACGUGGGAGACGCUGGUUCAAUUCCAGCCAAUGCA
This 70-nucleotide transfer RNA is filed under the name Loxodonta africana (African savanna elephant). It matches the Rfam family "tRNA". From Rfam's summary of the family: Transfer RNA (tRNA) molecules are approximately 80 nucleotides in length. Their secondary structure includes four short double-helical elements and three loops (D, anti-codon, and T loops). The record is from Rfam by way of RNAcentral. Lineage: Eukaryota; Metazoa; Chordata; Mammalia; Proboscidea; Elephantidae.